Molecule: unclassified non-coding RNA, 386 nt
Filed under: Caenorhabditis elegans
Lineage: Eukaryota; Metazoa; Nematoda; Chromadorea; Rhabditida; Rhabditidae
Description: Non-coding transcript of protein-coding gene Y17D7C.6b
Source: RNAcentral
AUGGACAAUCUUCGUAUCGAUUUUUUGAGAAAUGAUGAUUGAUGCACGUGCUCGUUGUGUGUUUGCUCAGAUCACGUAAUGGACCUACCGGGAAUAGCGAAUGCUUUCGAUAUUUUGUUCGAUCCCGAUGAAGAGAACCAGUAAAAAUGUCGUACAUCGAUACUUCCCUGGUGGAGCCACUAAAAAAAUUGGAAAUAAAUCUACCAACUGGCAACAAUAAUGGGUACACUUUGAUCAAGCUGUGCAGAACGGCUUACCCGCCUACGAUCCUGCGAGACCGGCAUUUCUCAACACUUGUUGCAAGGUACAAGACGGACGAAGAGUUCAAAAACGAAGCAACUUUUGUGGAGAAGGUGUUAAACGACAAGAUCGAGCAAGAAGCGUGA